RNAcentral lists this ribosomal RNA (532 nucleotides) under uncultured bacterium. Its description in RNAcentral is "bacterial SSU rRNA". It matches the Rfam family "Bacterial small subunit ribosomal RNA", at positions 394 to 917 of the family's 1533-position model. The record is from RNAcentral.
CUGCCGCGUGAGUGAAGAAGGCCUUCGGGUUGUAAAGCUCUUUCGGCCGGGAAGAAAUCGUGGUCUCUAACAUAGGCCAUGGAUGACGGUACCGGACUAAGAAGCACCGGCUAACUACGUGCCAGCAGCCGCGGUAAUACGUAGGGUGCGAGCGUUAAUCGGAAUUACUGGGCGUAAAGCGUGCGCAGGCGGUUUUGUAAGACAGAUGUGAAAUCCCCGGGCUUAACCUGGGAACUGCGUUUGUGACUGCAAGGCUAGAGUACGGCAGAGGGGGGUGGAAUUCCUGGUGUAGCAGUGAAAUGCGUAGAGAUCAGGAGGAACACCGAUGGCGAAGGCAGCCCCCUGGGCCUGUACUGACGCUCAUGCACGAAAGCGUGGGGAGCAAACAGGAUUAGAUACCCUGGUAGUCCACGCCCUAAACGAUGUCGACUAGUCGUUCGGAGCAGCAAUGCACUGAGUGACGCAGCUAACGCGUGAAGUCGACCGCCUGGGGAGUACGGCCGCAAGGUUAAAACUCAAAGGAAUUGACGGG